This 490-nucleotide ribosomal RNA is filed under the name uncultured bacterium. RNAcentral's name for it is "partial 16S ribosomal RNA". It matches the Rfam family "Bacterial small subunit ribosomal RNA", at positions 30 to 507 of the family's 1533-position model. The record is from RNAcentral.
AUUGAACGCUGGCGGCAUGCCUUACACAUGCAAGUCGAACGGCAGCAUGAUCUAGCUUGCUAGAUUGAUGGCGAGUGGCGAACGGGUGAGUAAUACAUCGGAACGUGCCCUGUAGUGGGGGAUAACUAGUCGAAAGAUUGGCUAAUACCGCAUACGACCUGAGGGUGAAAGUGGGGGACCGCAAGGCCUCAUGCUAUAGGAGCGGCCGAUGUCUGAUUAGCUAGUUGGUGAGGUAAAGGCUCACCAAGGCGACGAUCAGUAGCUGGUCUGAGAGGACGAUCAGCCACACUGGGACUGAGACACGGCCCAGACUCCUACGGGAGGCAGCAGUGGGGAAUUUUGGACAAUGGGCGAAAGCCUGAUCCAGCAAUGCCGCGUGUGUGAAGAAGGCCUUCGGGUUGUAAAGCACUUUUGUCCGGAAAGAAAUGGCUCUGGUUAAUACCUGGGGUCGAUGACGGUACCGGAAGAAUAAGGACCGGCUAACUACGUG